RNAcentral lists this ribosomal RNA (465 nucleotides) under uncultured bacterium. Its description in RNAcentral is "partial 16S ribosomal RNA". It matches the Rfam family "Bacterial small subunit ribosomal RNA", at positions 338 to 795 of the family's 1533-position model. The record is from RNAcentral.
CCUACGGGAGGCAGCAGUAGGGAAUCUUCCACAAUGGGCGAAAGCCUGAUGGAGCAACGCCGCGUGGGUGAAGAAGGUCUUCGGAUCGUAAAACCCUGUUGUUAGAGAAGAAAGUGCGUGAGAGUAACUGUUCACGUUUCGACGGUAUCUAACCAGAAAGCCCCGGCUCACUACGUGCCAGCAGCCGCGGUAAUACGUAGGUGGCAAGCGUUAUCCGGAUUUAUUGGGCGUAAAGGGAACGCAGGCGGUCUUUUAAGUCUGAUGUGAAAGCCUUCGGCUUAACCGGAGUAGUGCAUUGGAAACUGGGAGACUGGAGUGCAGAAGAGGAGAGUGGAACUCCAUGUGUAGCGGUGAAAUGCGUAGAUAUAUGGAAGAACACCAGUGGCGAAAGCGGCUCUCUGGUCUGUAACUGACGCUGAGGUUCGAAAGCGUGGGUAGCAAACAGGAUUAGAUACCCUUGUAGUC